CUAAAGUAGUAGUAGUUAUGUUCUUGAAACUUAAAAAAUUUGGCGGUAUUUUAGUCUAUUCAGAGGAACCUGUCCGUAAUCGAUAAUCCACGUUGGACCUUACUUAAAUUUGUUUAUCAGUUUGUAUACCGUUGUUAUAAGAAUAUUUUAUCAGAAUAAUAAUUUUCUAGAAUUUUUAUAAAAAUUUAUAUCAGAUCAAGGUGCAGCUUAUGUUUAAGUAGAGAUGGGUUACAAUAAAUUUAUUUAAAUGAAUUAGUUUUUGAAAUAAAAUUAUGAAGGUGGAUUUGAAUGUAAAAUUAUAAAGAUAAAUAAUUUGAUUUAGCU
This 324-nucleotide ribosomal RNA is filed under the name Sepsis dissimilis. RNAcentral's name for it is "partial 12S ribosomal RNA". Lineage: Eukaryota; Metazoa; Arthropoda; Insecta; Diptera; Sepsidae. The record is from RNAcentral.